Molecule: ribosomal RNA, 443 nt
Filed under: uncultured Oscillospiraceae bacterium
Lineage: Bacteria; Bacillati; Bacillota; Clostridia; Eubacteriales; Oscillospiraceae
Description: bacterial SSU rRNA
Rfam family: Bacterial small subunit ribosomal RNA
Source: RNAcentral
CCUACGGGCGGCUGCAGUGGGGAAUAUUGGGCAAUGGGCGAAAGCCUGACCCAGCAACGCCGCGUGAAGGAAGAAGGCCUUCGGGUUGUAAACUUCUUUUAUGAGGGACGAAGGAAGUGACGGUACCUCAUGAAUAAGCCACGGCUAACUACGUGCCAGCAGCCGCGGUAAUACGUAGGUGGCAAGCGUUAUCCGGAUUUACUGGGUGUAAAGGGCGCGUAGGCGGGAAGGCAAGUCAGAUGUGAAAUCCAGGGGCUCAACCCCUGAACUGCAUUUGAAACUGCUUUUCUUGAGUGUCGGAGAGGUAGAUGGAAUUCCUAGUGUAGCGGUGAAAUGCGUAGAUAUUAGGAGGAACACCAGUGGCGAAGGCGAUCUACUGGACGAUAACUGACGCUGAGGCGCGAAAGCGUGGGGAGCAAACAGGCUUAGAUACCCCUGUAGUC